ACCUACGGGGGGCAGCAGUAGGGAAUUUUCGUCAAUGGGCGCAAGCCUGAACGAGCAAUGCCGCGUGAACGGGGAAGGUCUUCGGAUCGUAAAGUUCUGUUGAAGGGGAAAAAGAGCGGAGAGAGGAAAUGGUCUCCGAUUGAUAUUACCCUUCGAGGAAGUCACGGCUAACUACGUGCCAGCAGCCGCGGUAAUACGUAGGUGGCGAGCGUUAUCCGGAAUGAUUGGGCGUAAAGGGUGCGUAGGCGGCCUGCUAAGUCUGGAGUGAAAGGUACCGGCUCAACCGGUACAGGCUCUGGAAACUG
This 305-nucleotide ribosomal RNA is filed under the name uncultured bacterium. RNAcentral describes it as "bacterial SSU rRNA". It matches the Rfam family "Bacterial small subunit ribosomal RNA", at positions 337 to 635 of the family's 1533-position model. The record is from RNAcentral.